This 253-nucleotide ribosomal RNA is filed under the name uncultured bacterium. RNAcentral describes it as "partial 16S ribosomal RNA". It matches the Rfam family "Bacterial small subunit ribosomal RNA", at positions 524 to 776 of the family's 1533-position model. The record is from RNAcentral.
UACGGAGGGUGCGAGCGUUGUCCGGAAUCACUGGGCGUAAAGGGCGCGUAGGCGGACUCUUAAGUCGGGGGUGAAAGCCCAGGGCUCAACCCUGGAAUUGCCUUCGAUACUGAGAGUCUUGAGUUCAGAAGAGGUUGGUGGAACUGCGAGUGUAGAGGUGAAAUUCGUAGAUAUUCGCAAGAACACCAGUGGCGAAGGCGGCCGACUGGUCCGAUACUGACGCUGAGGCGCGAAAGCGUGGGGAGCAAACAGG